RNAcentral lists this long non-coding RNA (456 nucleotides) under Homo sapiens (human). Its description in RNAcentral is "HSALNT0271394". Lineage: Eukaryota; Metazoa; Chordata; Mammalia; Primates; Hominidae. The record is from RNAcentral.
UCUGAAAGUUUAACUCUUUUAUUUAUCAAUCGUUCUUUGUCAUCUUCUUGAUAAUUUAUUUUGAUUUUAUAAAAGUUACCUGGAAGGCCAAAGUAGUUUAAGAAACACAGGUCUUGCAACCCAGAAGUGAAAACCUUCAAGCUUUUAAUUUAGUUAUGUUCAUUUAAUAUUUACUAAGUACCAACCAUACAUAAGGUCUCAUGCAUGCAUUAAGUGACAAGAAAUGAGUAAGAAAAUUUGUUUUCAAGAAGCUGUAGUUAAAUAGGGAGAAUGAGUUAAGAAUACAAAUGUCUGUAAUUUGAAGUUCUAUGUACAUGUCAUAGGAGAAGAAGAAGAAAACUUUGUUCUGAGUUCAAUGAUUCACUGGGUGUGGUAGCUAAUGCCUAUAAUCCCAGCACUUUGGGAGGCUGAGGUAGGAGGAUUGCUUGAGCCCAGGAGUUCAAGACCAGCCUGGGC